Long non-coding RNA from Prinia subflava (tawny-flanked prinia), 790 nucleotides. RefSeq lists it as uncharacterized. The transcript has 4 exons. The record is from RefSeq and is a predicted model, not a curated record. NCBI's taxonomy places the organism in Eukaryota, Metazoa, Chordata, Aves, Passeriformes, Cisticolidae.
GCGAGUUAUUCCUUUGAUGUGCAAAGCACUCACAGAAAGUCCCGUUUCUCUGAACACAGUAGGAGUGAAGCCCCGAGACAGCUUCUUGGCUCUGAGCUGCAAGUGUUUCUGCAGGGACCAGGCUGGCAGUAGAGUCCCUCAGGGUGAGCUGCUGGGAUCAGCACGGUGUCAUGAUGGAAAACUCUUCAGUGUGCUGCAUCUGUAAAACUGCUUUAUUCCCAGAUUCCUCCUUCGACCUGGCACUUACCUGUGCACACAUUUAGUCAGAUCCAGCGUGCUGUAUUCAGCAGGGUCUGCUCUCCUUCUGCACAACCCUGUGCCUCGUUACUGCCCAGCCUGUACUUUACUCGCCACCUUGCAGUACCUGAGUGCCACGUGCAGUCUGAGCCCACGCUGCACACUGCAGCCCAUCUCUGUUUAUCCCAGCAGGAAAUGGAGGCUUUAUCCACACAGCACAGGCAAGCCAGAUGGGGCUCCGCCAGCAUCGAUGCAGCCGAACCCGAACGGCGCAUGGGAACACCCUUUGUGCGAGGCAGCGCUUUGUCGCGGCGGCGAGAGCCUCGCCUCACACGAAAGCCUUCCCGCCGCACGGUGAGGAGCGGACGAGUGCCACAGCGGCCCGGGCGGUGCGGUGGCGGAGGGCACGGCGGGCACGGCGGGCACCGCCCGCCCCACGGCCCGGCCUGAGGCGGGGCCUCGCCCGCUUCCAACAUGGCGGCGCCGCCCCGGAGGCCAUUUCGGACCGCGCGGGGCGGGGCCUCUGCCCGCUCCCAAAAUGGUGGGGGCGGCG